RNAcentral lists this small RNA (743 nucleotides) under Drosophila virilis. RNAcentral's name for it is "GJ26654". Lineage: Eukaryota; Metazoa; Arthropoda; Insecta; Diptera; Drosophilidae. The record is from RNAcentral.
GUGGAAACGAACGGUCGUGUGUACGGAUGAAAUAAAUUUGUUCAACGUUUGGAGCCCACUGUGCUGAACUGUUAACAUAAUCAAGAGCAAUAAACAAGUGCUUUAAAUUUUGUUUAAAUUAAGACUGGAUAUAAAAAGAAAUCGUUGUCAUUCGACCUAAAAUGUAAACUGUGUAAGUUUACGAUUUGAACAAUAACAACAAAAAUCAGUCUAUAAUGGUUGUAAUUUAGCUAAUAAACAAUUUACGGACACGGAAAUCACGUGGAAGCAACUUGAACUCCAUUUGUGAACAGCAGCAGGAGCAGCGACUGUGGCAGCAUCAGCUGCUAAUCGACUACAACAAUAAGCAUAAAUCAUCGUCAAGCAACAACAACAUUGCGAUUGAGUUGCAAGCCUAAGCAAAGUGAAGAGCAAGCAAAAAACAUAUAACGCAUUAAUCAUACGCCGCGUGCGCCGCAAUUGAAACGCCCUGUGAAAUUUGCUCCAACGAAAUGUUUGCGAAAAGGCCGCACAAUGCGCCGCGCACUUGACACGCGUUGAGUUACUGUUACAGUUACCGUCAUUACCGUAACGUCAAUCGAUCAAUCGAUAAAUUUGUUAUCGUUUAUUUGUUUUUUUUGGGUUUUUAGUUUUCACGUCGCUUGUUUUUUAUUUCGCUUUGUUUAUUCGAAGUGCCGCAUGUACGUGUCCGGGCUAAAAACGUUUACUGGCAGCUACAACUGCAACAACAACAACAAUAACAA